AGUUGGGGUUGGAAAAUGAUAAUGAUAAUAUCUUAUCUCCAGUAUAUAGAUCAUCACCGUCAGAAAAAAAAAAUAUUGUUUCGUUUUUUAACUGUGUGUAUUACCAGUGUUAUUUACAAAAUAUGCUUUUCAAUCGCUGAAUAAUAUUAGUAUAUAAAUUUUUUGAAAUAAUAGUGACGUCUCAUGGCAACCACUAAACUAAGCAGGGCCGGCUCAUGAAGGAAUGAGGGAAGACAAUAAGUGCAAUGGUCUGGGCCCAGUACUAUAUCAUGCGAUCUAAAUAUUCA
Molecule: long non-coding RNA, 287 nt
Filed under: Brassica napus (rape)
Lineage: Eukaryota; Viridiplantae; Streptophyta; Magnoliopsida; Brassicales; Brassicaceae
Description: long non-coding RNA (BNAP_LNC001471)
Source: RNAcentral